This 301-nucleotide ribosomal RNA is filed under the name uncultured bacterium. RNAcentral describes it as "partial 16S ribosomal RNA". It matches the Rfam family "Bacterial small subunit ribosomal RNA", at positions 509 to 807 of the family's 1533-position model. The record is from RNAcentral.
CAGCCGCCGCGGUAAUACAGAGGGUGCAAGCGUUAAUCGGAAUUACUGGGCGUAAAGCGCGCGUAGGUGGUUUGUUAAGUUGGAUGUGAAAGCCCCGGGCUCAACCUGGGAACUGCAUCCAAAACUGGCAAGCUAGAGUACGGUAGAGGGUGGUGGAAUUUCCUGUGUAGCGGUGAAAUGCGUAGACAUAGGAAGGAACACCAGUGGCGAAGGCGACCACCUGGACUGAUACUGACACUGAGGUGCGAAAGCGUGGGGAGCAAACAGGAUUAGAUACCCCUGUAGUCCCUGUCUCUUAUAC